UGUCUGGUGCCAGCAGCCGCGGUAAUUCCAGCUCCAAUAGCGUAUAUUAAACUUGUUGCAGUUAAAAAGCUCGUAGUUGAAUUUCUGCGUUAUCGAGUUAUUGACUCUUGUCUUUAAUCGAUUUCGCUUUUGGGAUUUAUCCCUUUUUACUUUGAGAAAAUUAGAGUGUUUCAAGCAGACUUUUGUCUUGAAUACUUCAGCAUGGAAUAAUAGAGUAGGACUUUGGUUCUAUUUUGUUGGUUUUUGAACCUUAGUAAUGGUUAAUAGGAACGGUUGGGGGCAUUCGUAUUUAACUGUCAGAGGUGAAAUUCUUAGAUUUGUUAAAGACGAACUACUGCGAAAGCAUUUGCCAAGGACGUUUCCAUUAAUCAAGAACGAAAGUUAGGGGAUCGAAGACGAUCAGAUACCGUCGUAGUCCUAACCAUAAAC
This 429-nucleotide ribosomal RNA is filed under the name Babesia venatorum (nom. ined.). Its description in RNAcentral is "SSU rRNA". It matches the Rfam family "Eukaryotic small subunit ribosomal RNA", at positions 558 to 1037 of the family's 1831-position model. Lineage: Eukaryota; Apicomplexa; Aconoidasida; Piroplasmida; Babesiidae. The record is from RNAcentral.